AGACCCGGAGGCCGUGGCUGUGGUUCGCGGCGGUGCUGUCGCGGGCGCCCUGGCGCAGCCCACGCAGGGGCUCCUGAGGGUCCGCGAGGCCGGGAGGUCCGGGGGUCGGGAGGUCCCGGGGUCGGGAAGUCGGUGGACCCUGCAGGCCAGUGGGGAGGGGAGACAUAAGACAUCAGUCAGUACAUGUGAGGUGUGCAUUGGAUUGAUCCAGAAAGUCAGGACGACUCCAAGUGGAAAGGCCUCCAGCCAGUUGUCACAUCAUUUAUUGAAAAAGGAAUCUUUUCUCCACCGACUGACAUGAAAUGCUACCAUCAUCGUAAAUAAAAUUCCCGUAAAUACUUGCUGUCUCUGCUGUCUCAGUCCUGACUCACGGGCUGAGUUCUCUUUCUGCACAGUAGCACUGGCAUUAACUGUGACAGCUUUACAGCAGGCUCCCUCCCCGAGGCCGUUCAGAAGCAUUCCUCAGCGGGUCCUACACGUUUCCUCUCCCAUGUCAAGUUUAGAAGCAGUGUCAAGACCCACAGCAGUCCUGCGGGAGUUUUAAGGGAUGCACGGAGUUUAUGGGGACAGUUUGGAAAAUUGACAUUCAUGUGACUUAGAGUCCUACUACUUGAAAAUGGAUUCCAGCUCUCAACGAAUUUAGAGCUUUGGCAAAAUUUUUAAGAUUUCUUUGAUGUCCGAUGUGCUCAUUUCUUGGUUUGUUCUUGAGUAUUUUGUGGAUUUUUAUGAAAUCCACAAAGUUUUUGUUAUAAUGAAUGGGACACUUUCCCAUAAAAUGUUGUAAUUCUGUAUUGCUGUUUUAGUAAACACUGUUGAUUGAUGUA
Molecule: long non-coding RNA, 824 nt
Filed under: Homo sapiens (human)
Lineage: Eukaryota; Metazoa; Chordata; Mammalia; Primates; Hominidae
Description: long intergenic non-protein coding RNA 205
Source: RNAcentral